AUAAAGUAAGCUAAUUUAAGC
RNAcentral lists this transfer RNA (21 nucleotides) under Ixodes ricinus (castor bean tick). Its description in RNAcentral is "partial tRNA-Met". Lineage: Eukaryota; Metazoa; Arthropoda; Arachnida; Ixodida; Ixodidae. The record is from RNAcentral.